This 572-nucleotide ribosomal RNA is filed under the name uncultured Lactobacillus sp. RNAcentral describes it as "bacterial SSU rRNA". It matches the Rfam family "Bacterial small subunit ribosomal RNA", at positions 928 to 1501 of the family's 1533-position model. Lineage: Bacteria; Bacillati; Bacillota; Bacilli; Lactobacillales; Lactobacillaceae. The record is from RNAcentral.
AGCGGUGGAGCAUGUGGUUUAAUUCGAUGCUACGCGAAGAACCUUACCAGGUCUUGACAUCUUCUGCCAACCUAAGAGAUUAGGCGUUCCCUUCGGGGACAGAAUGACAGGUGGUGCAUGGUUGUCGUCAGCUCGUGUCGUGAGAUGUUGGGUUAAGUCCCGCAACGAGCGCAACCCUUAUUGUUAGUUGCCAGCAUUCAGUUGGGCACUCUAGCAAGACUGCCGGUGACAAACCGGAGGAAGGUGGGGAUGACGUCAAAUCAUCAUGCCCCUUAUGACCUGGGCUACACACGUGCUACAAUGGACGGUACAACGAGUCGCGAAACCGCGAGGUCAAGCUAAUCUCUUAAAGCCGUUCUCAGUUCGGGUUGUAGGCUGCAACUCGCCUACAUGAAGUUGGAAUCGCUAGUAAUCGUGGAUCAGCAUGCCACGGUGAAUACGUUCCCGGGCCUUGUACACACCGCCCGUCACACCAUGAGAGUUUGUAACACCCAAAGCCGGUGAGGUAACCUUCGGGGACCAGCCGUCUAAGGUGGGACAGAUGAUUAGGGUGAAGUCGUAACAAGGUAACC